GACGAACGCUGGCGGCGUGCUUAACACAUGCAAGUCGAACGGAAAGGCCCUGCUUUUGUGGGGUGCUCGAGUGGCGAACGGGUGAGUAACACGUGAGUAACCUGCCCUUGACUUUGGGAUAACUUCAGGAAACUGGGGCUAAUACCGGAUAGGAGCUCCUGCUGCAUGGUGGGGGUUGGAAAGUUUCGGCGGUUGGGGAUGGACUCGCGGCUUAUCAGCUUGUUGGUGGGGUAGUGGCUUACCAAGGCCUUGACGGGUAGCCGGCCUGAGAGGGUGACCGGCCACAUUGGUACUAAGAUACGGCCCAGACUCCUACGGGAGGCAGCAGUGGGGAAUAUUGCACAAUGGUCGGAAGCCUGAUGCAGCAACGCCGCGUGCGGGAUGACGGCCUUCGGGUUGUAAACCGCUUUCGCCUGUGACGAAGCGUGAGUGACGGUAAUGGGUAAAGAAGCACCGGCUAACUACGUG
Molecule: ribosomal RNA, 468 nt
Filed under: uncultured bacterium
Lineage: Bacteria
Description: partial 16S ribosomal RNA
Rfam family: Bacterial small subunit ribosomal RNA
Source: RNAcentral